AGAUUUUUGCUUUCAUUGAGAAAUUAUAAACAAAAUCUAAAUACAUAAAUUGAUGAGAGAAUAAAAAAUACAUGCAAAGAUACAUUUAGUUGGCUCCGCAUGUAUUCAAGGCCAUCAACCAACCAUUAGUGGAAAAACCAAGAUGCAUCACCUAAGAAGCAUGUAGUUGCAUUGUUGACCUUGCCAAAUAAGAAAGGGAUCAUA
RNAcentral lists this unclassified non-coding RNA (204 nucleotides) under Hevea brasiliensis (rubber tree). Lineage: Eukaryota; Viridiplantae; Streptophyta; Magnoliopsida; Malpighiales; Euphorbiaceae. The record is from RNAcentral.